CGUGUAGGCGGCAAUUUAAGUCAGACGUGAAAACUCAAGGCUUAACCACGGGACUGCGUUUGAAACUGGAUGGCUAGAGGGUCGGAGAGGGCAGUGGAAUUCCCAGUGUAGCGGCGAAAUGCGUAGAUAUUGGGAGGAACACCAGUGGCGAAGGCGACUGCCUGGACGACACCUGACGCUGAGGCGCGAAAGCCAGGGGAGCGAACG
RNAcentral lists this ribosomal RNA (207 nucleotides) under uncultured bacterium. RNAcentral's name for it is "partial 16S ribosomal RNA". It matches the Rfam family "Bacterial small subunit ribosomal RNA", at positions 568 to 774 of the family's 1533-position model. The record is from RNAcentral.